AAAGUGGCGCAAGGUCUCUGACGCAGAGCCCAAAUGUUUUUGGUGCAAAUCCAGAGAUGUAUUCACUUACUAGAAUGUACAGAACACAGGGAAGCAGUGCCAACAGGACACAGCACAGAGGAAAGCAAAGAGAAGACUACCCACGUAAUACAAUCUGUACAGCUGGACUGCCAGGACAGAAGUGACUUUGUCUGUUUGAAGUGCAAGCUGGUUUGCAUAUUGAAAGAGAAGGUCAGAGGACUAGAGAACCAAGUAUCAACCCUGGCUUGCCUCAGAGAAAACAAAGAUUUUCUGGAUAGAAGUGUCAGUGUUUGGUUCUGGAAGCAAAAUGUGCUGAAGAAUCAGAGACUGCAGAGCAGAGCAGGGAAGAAUAUUGGCAGCACGUGACCUCCAGAGGAAGAAAGAGGAGAACCUAUGUACCCCCAAUGCAGAUAGAGGUGCACAACCAUUUUCAGGCUCUCUGCACAGGUACUACUGUGGAGAAGGAUUUGGAAGAGCCCUUUGAGGGAAAGAGUCAGAAGGAGACUCUGUCGGCCGGAAGGCAUGGGAUGCAUCGUCCUAGGGAUGGGGGUUCCACGACCACCACUCCCAGGAGGAGGAGACGGGUGGGCGUGGUCAGGGACUCCCUCCUAAGGGGAACAGAGUCAUCCAUCUGUCGACCAGACCAGGAGACUUGAGAAGUGUGCUGCUUCCCUGGAGCUAGAAUCCAGGAUGUGACGGAGUGUUUGCUGAGACCGAUCAAGACCUCGGACCACUACCCCUUCCUACUUCUCCAUGUGGGCACCAAUGAUACUUCUAAGAAUGAUCUUUAGCAGAUCACUGCAUGCUACGUGGCUUUGGGAAGAAGGAUAAAGGAGUUUGAGAUGCAGGUCGUGUUCUCGUCCAUCCUCCCUGUUGAAGGAAAAGGCCCAGGUAGGGACUGUCAAAUUGUGGAGGUGAAUGCAUGGUUACGCAGGUGGUGUCGGAGAGAGGACUUUGGAUUCUUCGACCAUGGGAUGUUGUUCUGGGAAGAAGGACUGCUAGGAAGAGAUGGGAUCCACCUAACAAAGAGAGGGAAGAGCAUCUUCACAGGCAGGCUGCUAACCUAGUGAGGAGGGCUUUAAACUAGGUUCGCCGGGGGAUGGUGAGCUAAACCCAGAGAGUCUGCAGACAUGUCGACAUUUCAGGGGUAUCAGUAUCAAAGGCAGCUGUCAGAUCUACAGAAACAACAUGGAGAUUUGGUCUUCAUCCAUCAUCAAGAGAAGAUUGACAACUGAAAUGAGAGCAACUUCCAACCACACCAUCGAAUCUACCAUCUCUGGGCCCAGACCCUUAUAUCCCUUCCUCUUCCAAAAAAAUUAUUUGUGCAGCUCCUUCUCCAAAUAAAGUACAU
Molecule: long non-coding RNA, 1372 nt
Organism: Mauremys reevesii (Reeves's turtle)
Lineage: Eukaryota; Metazoa; Chordata; Testudines; Geoemydidae
Exons: 3
Source: RefSeq, a predicted model, not a curated record